UUUUGAUUCUCUGGAGAGUCUCCAUAAAUCCUUGUGGAGCGCCGAAGGGUUAAGGCUAUUCAAGCCGACAUCUCAGGCAAAGUGGACAGAGCAUAAAAA
Molecule: non-coding RNA, 99 nt
Filed under: Treponema succinifaciens
Lineage: Bacteria; Pseudomonadati; Spirochaetota; Spirochaetia; Treponematales; Treponemataceae
Also listed under: 1 other name
Description: Glycine sequence
Rfam family: Glycine riboswitch aptamer
About the family: This family represents the bacterial glycine riboswitch.
Source: RNAcentral